CAAACCGACACAGGUAGUCAAGAUGAGAAUUCUAAGGUGAGCGAGCGAACUCUCGUUAAGGAACUCGGCAAAAUGACCCCGUAACUUCGGGAGAAGGGGUGCUCUUUAGGGUUAACGCCCAGAAGAGCCGCAGUGAAUAGGCCCAAGCGACUGUUUAUCAAAAACACAGGUCUCUGCUAAACCGUAAGGUGAUGUAUAGGGGCUGACGCCUGCCCGGUGCUGGAAGGUUAAGAGGAGUGGUUAGCUUCUGCGAAGCUACGAAUCGAAGCCCCAGUAAACGGCGGCCGUAACUAUAACGGUCCUAAGGUAGCGAAAUUCCUUGUCGGGUAAGUUCCGACCCGCACGAAAGGCGUAACGAUUUGGGCACUGUCUCAACGAGAGACUCGGUGAAAUCAUAGUACCUGUGAAGAUGCAGGUUACCC
Molecule: ribosomal RNA, 422 nt
Filed under: Staphylococcus aureus
Lineage: Bacteria; Bacillati; Bacillota; Bacilli; Caryophanales; Staphylococcaceae
Description: partial 23S ribosomal RNA
Rfam family: Bacterial large subunit ribosomal RNA
Source: RNAcentral